GUCACACAUCGGCUGUGAGUGACACACAUUCUGAAUAGGAUCACGAGCGUUAGAGUAUAUGGCGCUGCGGCAACUGAUAUUGCGAAUUCGAUUGCUAAUUCAAUUGAAGUCGUAAAACAAUAUCAACAGGAGAGAGCGCCACCUAGCACAAAUGGGGUCAUGUGCAUGUGCAGUUUGGCCAUC
This is a long non-coding RNA of Drosophila subobscura, 183 nucleotides long. RefSeq lists it as uncharacterized. The record is from RefSeq and is a predicted model, not a curated record. The transcript is spliced from 2 exons. Lineage: Eukaryota; Metazoa; Arthropoda; Insecta; Diptera; Drosophilidae.